Molecule: ribosomal RNA, 406 nt
Filed under: uncultured bacterium
Lineage: Bacteria
Description: partial 16S ribosomal RNA
Rfam family: Bacterial small subunit ribosomal RNA
Source: RNAcentral
AUUGAACGCUGGCGGCAGGCCUAACACAUGCAAGUCGAACGAGUGGCGGACGGGCGAGUAAUGUCUGGGAAACUGCCUGAUGGAGGGGGAUAACUACUGGAAACGGUAGCUAAUACCGCAUACCAUCGGAUGUGCCCAGAUGGGAUUAGCUAGUAGGUGGGGUAAAGGCUCACCUAGGAGACGAUCCCUAGCUGGUCUGAGAGGAUGACCAGCCACACUGGAACUGAGACACUGUCCAGACUACUACGAGAGGCAGCAGUGGGGAAGAUUGCGCAAUGGGCGCAAACAUGAUGAAGCCGUGCCGCGUGUAUGAAGUAAGCCUUCGGGUUGUAGAGUACUUUCAGCGGUAAAUCGCUACCCGCAGGAGAAGCACCGGCUAACUACGUGCCAGCAGCCGCGGUAAUUC